AGUGAUGUAUAAAGAGCUGUACAUAUUUAAUGUAUGAAUGUCAUGAGUUUUGAGGUGAGUAUAUAUCUGUGAAACCAUCAUGCCAAUCUAUGUAAUAAACAUAUCACCUCCAGAUGAUUCCUCUUGCCCUGAGAAAAGUUAUGUUUUGGGAAAUAAAAUUUGUCAGUUCUUGGUGUUUAUGGAUUGGUGGGCUUCAGGGUCACCUGUCAGCCCUUCUACGCACUGUAUGCUCUCCCAGCCUUACCCAUCUUUGCCUUCAGCUCCAAUUGCCAUAUUUCUCUCAGUAGCUCUAAAAUAUAUAUCAUCUGUCUCAUCUCUUUAGAGACUCAGUUCGGGUCCCGUGUCUGACCUCUGGACGCUGAUAUUUAAGCUCUUAACAUGGGUCACAAGUCUUUCAAGUUCUGAUAACAGUCUACCUUUUUAGCCUCAUCUUGCUGCACUAUUUUGAUUUUCUGUAUGUGAUGAUAUCUUCCUGUGUGAUCUUCUCUGCGUGUGGUGGGUGAUAUCUUCCUGUGUGAUCUUCUCUGCAUGCGGUGGGUACAUCUUUCUAUGUGAUCUUCUCUGCGUGUGGUGGGUGAUAUCUUCCUGUGUGAUCUUCUCUGCGUGUGGUGGGUGAUAUCUUCCUGUGUGAUCUUCUCUGCAUGCGGUGGGUACAUCUUUCUAUGUGAUCUUCUCUGCGUGUGGUGGGUGAUAUCUUCCUGUGUGAUCUUCUCUGCGUGUGGUGGGUGAUAUCUUCCUGUGUGAUCUUCUCUGCGUGUGGUGGGUGAUAUCUUCCUGUGUGAUCUUCUCUGCGUGGGGUGGGUGAUAUCUUCCUAUGUGAUCUUCUCUGCGUGGGGUGGGUGAUAUCUUCCUAUGUGAUCUUCUCUGCGUGUGGUGGGUGAUAUCUUCCUGUGUGAUCUUCUCUGCGUGUGGUGGGUGCAUCUUUCUAUGUGAUCUUCUCUGCGUGGGGUGGGUGAUAUCUUCCUGUGUGAUCUUCUCUGCAUGCGGUGGGUACAUCUUUCUAUGUGAUCUUCUCUGCGUGUGGGGCGUCACUUGCACUUUGUUGAAAAGAGAAGAAAAGAAUGAGCAACAAACGCCGGGAAGAAACCGUAGUUUUAUUGACGACGCAUCUCAGGAAGUUAAAACGUUUAGACACCCAAGGGCCCCAUACGCCACCUGAACUCAAGUAAAUGUGAAAGUCUAGGUUUGAAAAGUAAAUAUAGCUUUUGAAAUAGGAGCUAUGAUAUUUCAAACUUAGGAGAAGAUAGAGCAUGGAAAUAACUUUUUAAAAUACAGUGAACAUUUUGUCCAAGGAGUUUUCAUGGGGAAUAGAAUAGGUUACAUGUGUUUGUAGAAAGAGAGAGACAGAUAAACAUAAUAUUUAAUCCAAUACAUUCUCAGUGGUGACUUUAAGUUUGGAAAGGAAA
Molecule: long non-coding RNA, 1406 nt
Organism: Capra hircus (goat)
Lineage: Eukaryota; Metazoa; Chordata; Mammalia; Artiodactyla; Bovidae
Exons: 2
Source: RefSeq, a predicted model, not a curated record